This 422-nucleotide ribosomal RNA is filed under the name uncultured bacterium. Its description in RNAcentral is "bacterial SSU rRNA". It matches the Rfam family "Bacterial small subunit ribosomal RNA", at positions 355 to 774 of the family's 1533-position model. The record is from RNAcentral.
UGAGGAAUAUUGGGCAAUGCCCGCAAGGGUGACCCAGCAACGCCGCGUGGAGGAUGAAUGUCGUAAGAUUGUAAACUCCUGUUAGAGGGGAAGAAUAGUACCGGUUGGACCGGUAUAUGACUGUACCCUCAGAGAAAGCCCCGGCUAACUACGUGCCAGCAGCCGCGGUAAUACGUAGGGGGCAAGCGUUGUCCGGAUUUACUGGGUGUAAAGGGCGCGCAGGCGGGAUAAAAAGUCAGUGGUGAAAUCCUACAGCUUAACUGUAGAACUGCCUUUGAUACUUUUAUUCUUGAAUUCGGGAGAGAGAGACGGAAUUCCAGGUGUAGUGGUGAAAUACGUAGAUAUCUGGAAGAACACCAGUUGCGAAGGCGGUCUCUUGGUCCGACACUGACGCUGAGGCGCGAAAGCGUGGGGAGCAAACA